CAGACCACAUAGCCGCAAAACGAAUCCUCACUAACUAGCUUGUUAUUCAAUAGGAUUUUCAAACCCCUCUUCAAAGUUUGCAUUUUUACUCUCGUUUUUAGAUUUUAGCUUCUGGGUUUGUAGUUUAAACUUGUUUUUCUUUUGUUGUUCUAAACAAAUUUUGAUAUUUUGGUAUCUGAAACAUAAACUGGACAGUGAUGAUUCCUUUUAUAGGUCUCGUUCGUCGUAAUUGGUCAUUUUUGAUCUUGCCGACAAUACUGUUUUCCGAGUCCUCCUUCUUCAAACCGAGUUUUAUUGUAUUUAUCUCAAUCUUAUGUCCCUGUUCGAUUGUGUGUAUGUUGUUUUUGAUGUCGUUAAUGAUUAUAAUCAUAUGAAUAUUGUCCAUGAUGAUAUAUUGAAGGCUUGUUUCUCAAAACAUUCGCAGUGGCCGCCCAAGAGCUUUCGCCUUCGCCAGGCUUGAGAGCUUAUGCUGUUUUUAUCCUUCCUUGGAUGUCUGAGACAA
Long non-coding RNA from Lathyrus oleraceus (garden pea), 502 nucleotides. RefSeq lists it as uncharacterized. The transcript has 2 exons. NCBI's taxonomy places the organism in Eukaryota, Viridiplantae, Streptophyta, Magnoliopsida, Fabales, Fabaceae. The record is from RefSeq and is a predicted model, not a curated record.